UACGGAGGGUGCAAGCGUUAAUCGGAAUCACUGUGCGUAAAGCGCACGUAGGCGGCUUGGUAAGUCAGGGGUGAAAUCCCACAGCCCAACUGUGGAACUGCCUUUGAUACUGCCAGGCUUGAGUACCGGAGAGGGUGGCGGAAUUCCAGGUGUAGGAGUGAAAUCCGUAGAUAUCUGGAGGAACACCGGUGGCGAAGGCGGCCACCUGGACGGUAACUGACGCUGAGGUGCGAAAGCGUGGGGAGCAAACAGG
RNAcentral lists this ribosomal RNA (253 nucleotides) under uncultured bacterium. Its description in RNAcentral is "partial 16S ribosomal RNA". It matches the Rfam family "Bacterial small subunit ribosomal RNA", at positions 524 to 776 of the family's 1533-position model. The record is from RNAcentral.